GUGUCAGCAGCCGCGGUAAUACAGAGGGUGCGAGCGUUGUCCGGAAUCACUGGGCGUAAAGGGCGCGUAGGUGGCGCCCCAAGUCGAUGGUGAAAGCUCGUCGCUCAACGACGAGUCGGCCACCGAUACUGGGGCGCUGGAGCACUGUAGAGGCUCAUGGAAUUCCGGGUGUAGCGGUGGAAUGCGUAGAGAUCCGGAAGAACACCGGUGGCGAAGGCGGUGAGCUGGGCAGUUGCUGACACUGAGGCGCGACAGCGUGGGGAGCAAACAGGAUUAGAAACCCUAGUAGUCC
RNAcentral lists this ribosomal RNA (292 nucleotides) under uncultured bacterium. RNAcentral describes it as "partial 16S ribosomal RNA". It matches the Rfam family "Bacterial small subunit ribosomal RNA", at positions 505 to 796 of the family's 1533-position model. The record is from RNAcentral.